RNAcentral lists this long non-coding RNA (5093 nucleotides) under Marmota monax (woodchuck). The stretch from base 4071 to 4139 matches the Rfam family "tRNA". Lineage: Eukaryota; Metazoa; Chordata; Mammalia; Rodentia; Sciuridae. The record is from RNAcentral.
UAACUUUAAUGCAUUUAUUCUUAAGCUUUUACAAAUUUUUGCAAUAUUUGAUUUAAUAGAUUAAGAAAAGAUUCUGAGGCUAUUGAUUUAAUUUGUAAAACUGCUUUCUAAAUUAGAUGACCGUGGGGCUGGGGAUGUGGCUCAAGUGGUAGCGCGCUCGCCUGGCAUGCGUGCGGCCCGGGUUCAAUCCUCAGCACCACAUUCAAACAAAGAUGUUGUAUCCUCCGAGAACUAAAAUAAAUAAAUAAAUAUUUAAAAUAAAUAAAUAAAUAAAUAAAUUAGAUGACCGUGGUCGGCUAUCAGCACAGGCUUUUGGGUUGGGUGGGGGCUGAACCCUGGCUCCAUGGGCUGGAGGGAGACUCUUAGAGGCCUUCAGCAAUGAGAAUGUGAUGGCCUCCAGCCCUUCGCAAAAUAAAUAUGGCAAAAUAAGCAACUCCCAGCUAAAACUAUGUUGUGAGGAAGGCUAAUAUUGGAUGUUACCCAUGAUUAAUGCUUUUAUUUUUUUGGUUAUCAAAUUUCACAUUUGAUUAAACAACUUUUUCUCAAUUUUUGGGUGCCCCCUCAAUAAUGCCUGAGACAUGCGCUGGGUUCACUUGCUGUGUUGAGGCAGAAGAGCCGCACUUUGUACCCACAAGACCUUGAUGGGACUAUGAUGGUUAGUGAUGGAGCACCCAGUCUCACCCAGUCUCCAUAGAACUGGACACUAAGGAAAAGGCCCACCUGCCAUGAGUUCAAGGUCAGUUAGAGACGUCCACUUUGUAGCUUUUUUUUGGUGGUGCUGGGGAUUGAACUCAGGGCCUUAACAACAUGCAAGGCAAGCACUCUACCAACUGAGCUAUAUCCCCAGCCCAACUUUGUAGCCUUUUUUUUAAAGAGAAUGUUUGCAAAAUAUCCAAUAUAUAGCUGGAGUAGGUGCUCAGAAAUCAUAUUCUGCUGGCUUGAAUUUACCCACAUGACCAUUUUACAUAAUAACCCAGUGUGUUUCCCAUUGAUGCAAAAAUUUUCUAAGUUUAUUGGAGUAAACAUCUGUAGUCAUUUGUAGCACUUGUAUGGUCAAGUGCAUGAAUCUUUUUUUUUUAUUUCUUCCAAUACUUUAGAAAGCACCCUCUACCCCAUUUUACCUCCUCGUACUGAUAUCUAAUUACACUGUCACAUUAUUUUUCUUCUAGUCUCAUAUCAUGGGAUUUAUUGCAUUUCCUAUAAUCCACUGAAAGAUGAGGCUUCACUCUUGUUUCUUUCCUAAACAUGCAUCCAAUUGACCAGGAAAAUCCCUACUCAGAAAGAGGAGGGGAAGAAGCAUUCCUGACCCCCAUACACCACCAUACACACUGCACUCAAGUGUGUGCAUUUAAAAAUUGACAGCUGUGGGGCUGGGGCUGUAGCUCAGUAGUAGAGCACCUGUCUCACGUGUAUGGGGCCCUGGGUUCAAUCCUCAGCACCACAUAAAAUAAAUAAAUAAAGAUAUUGUGUCCAUCUACAACUAAAAAACAAUUUUUCUUUUUUGUUAAUUGACAGCUGUAAACAGUUCUGCCUGUCUGCCUGCUCAGCGGCUCUUUGUUUUCUCCAAUCCCCCUUGAACUCAUUCAAAUGCCAUCUGUGCUUCCUUCCUGCUGAGGUCUUGAGGUUGGUUUAGGUGACAGUAGGGAUGACAAUUCUUCCCAGCACUUCUAGUGUGAGCUCUGAGAGCAGUGUGUGCUAGGACUCCAGUGUCCAUGUGGCUGCCCCUGAUUUUGUCCACGGCAGCCUCCUCCCUGUUUUCAGCCAUACAUGGAACAUGCAUUAGCACCCUCUUCUCCUUCUCUGUGCCCUUCCGUCAGCACUGGAGGAGGCAGAGACUCUCGGUACUCUCAGCUCCAGCCAAGGAGCUUAAUGGCUCCUCCUUAGGCAUUCUGUAAACUUCUCUGCCUGUUCACAGCCAUCUGCCAUCUUCCCCGCCUCUGCAGGUGUAGACCAUGACCUCCCUCCCCACUUCCUUCUGUCCAAGUCCUGACCAAUAAUGCCUGACGGGUUGGAAAUAGCCUCAUGGGCAAAUCAAUAAAGAUACUUAGAUUUGAUGGAAGGUGAUACACUAGACAAACGAAAGGAGAGGAGAAAAGUCGACUAAAGCGUGGACCCACAACUUGCAGUCAAGUUGGUGGCCAGUAGGCCCUCCAGAUGGACCUCACACAGAGCUGAGGAACCAGGGCUGCCCUCGGCAUGGGGCCUGGUGCUGACUUGGCCUUGCUGAACUCCACUGCUCUUUCUGUCUCUGCCUCUUUCCUUCCCCUUCCAUCUCUGCUCGGCACUUUUUUCUACUUGAUUUAAUUCUCCUUCCCCUCCUUGGAGACGGGGGUAGGAGAAGAAAGUGACUACCAGAACCUCCUACUCUGCAAGUUUUAAGUUUUAAAAUCCCCAGAAAGCACUCUGACAGGUCUGCAUUCACUCCCAGGCCCACCUUAGAUGAGUCACCAUGGGCAUAGGAAUGGCUACCAUGAGUGGUCAGCCCUAUGACAGGAGCCCACCACAUCACCAGGGAGAAGAUGCUAUGAUUGGCAGCUUCAUCAGAAUCACUGGAUGGAGGGAUAGAAGAAGUGACUCCCUAAAAGAAAGGUAUUGUACUAAGGUAGGGGAGGGAAGGGAAGGUCAGAGGAGAAGCAGCCAAGGUGUUGAGCAGACAAAAUCUUCCACUGCAUCCCACAGACUGGCAGCAGGGAGGCCAUGUGUGAUGAUGACCCAGACACUGCUGCCACCGCCUCUGCCAUCCUUCCACACUAUUGUCCUGUGUCAGGGACAUUCUGACUUGGAGUUCUGUGUGUCCUGGCUCCCCUUCACACACUGUUCCUUCUUCUCUGAGCCCUCCUACUCCUCCUGCUCCACCUGGCUAAUUCCAACUUGUGCUUCAGUUCAUGUUGCACCUACCACCUGUGGCAGGAGGACUGCAAGGACUCCCCACCCAGUUGGGAUCCCAGAACAGCACAUUCCCCAUCAGAUGGAGACAACUCCCUCCGGGUUAAGCAGAAACAACCUAUUACAGGGUUCAGGGCAGCUUAGAGAACUUGUGGGAAGCUAGCUACCAAGCGAAGGCAACACUAAACUAUGAGCAACGUAGCCAGAAGAAACAUCCUAAAGCCAGGCAUGGUAGUGCCUGCCUGUAAUCCCAGCAGCUCAGGAGGAUGAGGCAGGAGGAUCUGGAAUUCAAAGCCAGCCUCAGCAACUUAGCAAGGCCCUAAGCAACUCAGUAAGACCCUGUCUCUAAAUAAAACACAAAAAAGGGCUGGGGGGCUGGGGAUAUGGCUCAGUUGGUAGAGUGCCUACCUCACAUGCACAUGGCCCUGGGUUCAAUCCCCAGCACCACAAAAAAGUGGGCGGAGGGGCUGGGGGUGUGGCUCAGUGGUUAAGUACCCCAGGGUCAAUCCCCAGUACUAAAAAAAAAACCCUACAGAAAACCUGCCAGACCCUGCUUGCCACUAGCCCCUCCAACACAACAGAAUUCUAGACUCCUGCAGCAAUCCUCACCCAAGACAACCCCCACCCUCCUGCUACCAGGAGGCCUGGCCACCGGUGAUAUCUGCUUUCACCUCCCAGUCUCUACUAGGGGGAAGCUCAGUCCCCCAGAGAAUCCCAGCACAGGGGAUCCUGGAAGAGAGCCUCCACCACUGGGAACAGCAGAGAGGCAUCAAGUGGCCACAAAAGCCAUUUUUAAGGGCAAAUUCAUGGUUGUCACACUGUCGUCAUGAGUGUUUUGGUAUCUAUGUGAAAACCAUUUCCAGAAGUACUUUUAAUUAACACCCCCUUUAUCUGAUACUGGUAUUGCUAAAGCAGCUUUCUUUGGUCACUCACUUCCUGGUAUCCCUCUGUUAUCUGUGUUAUUCUGUUUGAGGUGUGUAACAUAAACAAUACACGAAACUAAAAUUUUUAAAAGUCAAUCUAAGAAUUCUCGGGUCAGUUUAAAGAUCCAUUUAUUUUUCACAGGGAAUAAGAACCUAAUAGCUUAUGUUUGUCACUCUUUAUUUUCUUUUUAUGAAGGUUGUUCUUGUUCCUCCUCCUCUUUCUCUCUUCUUUUGGGUUUUCAAGAUUCUCUAUUUUGGACUGGGGUUGUGGCUCAGUGGUAGAGCACUUGCCUAGCAUGUGUGAGGCACUGGGUUCGAUUCUCAGCACCACAUAAAAAAUAAAUAAAUAAAAUAAAGGCAUUGGGUCCAACUACACUUAAAAAUAAAUAUGUUUUUAAAAUUCUCUAUUUUUUUUUUAUUUUCAACAACUUUGGGAGUUAACAUUUGACUUCUAAUCAUUUAGUGGUUCUCCAGGACAAGAUGCUUACAAUGACAUAACUUCUCUCCUGUCACCGCUUUCCCCAAGGCCCAUGCAGUUAUUAUCUAACUUUGGGGUCAGAAUGCUUUUUAUUAUUAUUAUUAUUAUUAUUAUUAGUUAUAGUUGGACACAAUACUUUUAUUUUAUUUUUUUUUUAUGUGGUGUUGAGGAUCAAACCCAGCACCUCGCACGUGCCAGGCAAGCUCUCUACCACUGAGCCCCAGCCCCAGCCCCAGAAUGCUUUGAUCUGUGCUUGGAAAGGAGGUUUCUCUGCAGUGACUCUGCCAUCUUGAUCUAGCUGUUAUAACAGUCCUUCAUUCACUCUUUGCUUUAUCAAAAUCCUCCAGCCCCACAGCCUUCACCUUCCUGCUUAUGCUUCAUCCACAUCUGAGACCCCCAACCCCUGGCUCAUCAUCUGCCAUCAUCUCUCUCCUCAGCAGGGGAGAAGCCAAGCAGGUGCCACUCACUGCUGAAGAACAUGUGCCCAGGAGCAUGAAGAAGUGGCUGAGGACCUGCUGGAGCCCCUGGCCUACUCCUUCCCUUCUUGUCUGCACACAACCUUGCCUCCUGCUUCAGGGGAAGUAGGAGCCAUCAAGGAGAACUCCCAGAGUUUUCUACUUCCCCACAGCAAACGCAUCUCCACCCAUAAUUGUCUCUCCUCUCACAGGACACGAGAGAGCAACCUCCCUCUGCUCCCAGGCCAUCCUGACACAGACCCUCAUUACUGCCCUGUCUCCUAUUUGUAAUUCUCCCCCACUCUGCCUCCAGAAAACAUUGGCUACAUUAAUACCUUGCCUGUGGUGAAU